Molecule: long non-coding RNA, 523 nt
Organism: Homo sapiens (human)
Lineage: Eukaryota; Metazoa; Chordata; Mammalia; Primates; Hominidae
Source: Ensembl
AGGCCCUGCCCACGGGCCCCUUAGCUGCCUCUGGGCGGCAUGUCUGCCGAGGUUCUUCUCUCUAGCUGCGCCGCGCCUUCAGGCUCGCUUCCCCAGGCUGUCUGGUGGGCGGAAUCCGCGCGUCGGUGUUCCUGACCCUCGUGGGUUCCAGUGGAACCCUCCGAAACCCAAAAGGCGCCGCCUCUUAAUGCAAACUGUAGUCACCGACUCGUCCAGUCUGUUGGUAUUCGCGUCGUCCUUUGUGCUGGGCAAAGUAACCGAGAAGUAACGGAGAGCGCGCAUUUUCUACACCUAGAGCUCCCCGAGGGAGCCUGGGCCAGCAAGUCUUUCCAUUCUUGAGAUGCCUUUUCUCCUGGAUUGACAAGUGUUUUAUCCAUUGGUGUCUUAACCCGGGCGAACUCUUUCCAAAUUCCCAUGCCAAACGCAGUUAACAAAUCGAUGAUUUCUAAAUAAGUUUGUACCCUGCACCUAAACCAACGCCAUUUAUAUAACUAAAAUAAAUUGCGUAUUUAAAUGCAUGUCC